AAUCUGACCUCAAAUCAGGUAGGGCUACCCGCUGAACUUAAGCAUAUCAAUAAGCGGAGGAAAGGAAACUAACAAGGAUUCCCUUAGUAACGGCGAGUGAACCGGGAAGAGCUCAAAUUUGUAAUCUGGCGUGCUCUGUGCGUCCGAGUUGUAAUCUAUAGAAGUGUUUUCCGCGCCGGAUCGUGUCCAAGUUCCUUGGAAUAGGAUAUCAUAGAGGGUGACAAUCCCGUCCUUGACACGACUACCGGUGCUCUGUGAUACACUUUCUACGAGUCGAGUUGUUUGGGAAUGCAGCUCAAAAUGGGUGGUGAGUUCCAUCUAAAGCUAAAUAUUGGCGAGAGACCGAUAGCGAACAAGUACCGUGAGGGAAAGAUGAAAAGCACUUGAAAGAGAGUAAACAGUA
Molecule: ribosomal RNA, 403 nt
Filed under: Tremella lobariacearum
Lineage: Eukaryota; Fungi; Basidiomycota; Tremellomycetes; Tremellales; Tremellaceae
Description: eukaryotic LSU rRNA
Rfam family: Eukaryotic large subunit ribosomal RNA
Source: RNAcentral